AUCCGACUUAGUGUCCCUGAAAUAAUAACUGGACACACACACACACACUGGACACACACACACACACACACACACACACUGGACAAACACACACAGACAAACACACACUGGACACACACACACACACUGGAUAUACACACACUCAACACACACACUGGACACAUACACACACUGGACGCACACACUCUCACACACACACACUGGACACACACACUGGACGCACACACUCUCACACACACACACUGGACACACACACACACUGGACAAACACACACACACACACACUGGACAAACACACACACACACACACACACACACUGGACAAACACACACACACACUGGACAAACACACACACACACACACACACACACACACACUGGACAAACACACACACUGGACAAACACACACACACACACACACACACACACACACACACACACACACUGGACAAACACACACACUGGACAAACACACACACACACACACACUGGACACACACACACACACACACACACACUGGUCACACACACACACACACACACACUGGACAAACACACACACACACACACACACUGGACACACACACACACACACACACUGGACAAACACACACACACACACACUGGACACACACACACUGGACAAACACACACACACUGGACACACACACACUGGACACACACACACUGGACACACACACACUGGACACACACUGGACACACACACACACACACACUGGACAAACACACACACACACACUGGACACACACACACUGGACACACACACACACACUGGACACACACACACACUGGUCACACCCACACUGGACACACACACACACACACACUGGACACAGACACACACUGGACACACACACACACACACACACACACACACACACACACACACACACACACACACACACACUGGACACACACACACACACACUGGACACACACACUGGAUACACACAAACACUGGACACACACACACACACACACUGGACAAACACACACACACACACACACACACACACUGGACAAACACACACACUGGACAAACACACACACACACACACACACACACACACACACACACACACACACACUGGACAAACACACACACUGGACAAACACACACACACACACACACUGGACACACACACACACACACACACACACUGGUCACAAACACACACACACACACACUGGACAAACACACACACACACACACACACUGGACACACACACACACACACACUGGACAAACACACACACACACACACUGGACACACACACACUGGACAAACACACACACACUGGACACACACACACUGGACACACACACACUGGACACACACACACUGGACACACACUGGACACACACACACACACACACUGGACAAACACACACACACACACUGGACACACACACACUGGACACACUCACACACACUGGACACACACACACACUGGUCACACCCACACUGGACACACACACACACACACACUGGACACAGACACACACUGGACACACACACACACACACACACACACACACACACACACACACACACACACACACACUGGACACACACACACACACACUGGACACACACACUGGAUACACACACACACUGGACACACACACACACACACACUGGACACACACACAAAGAACACGUACACUGGACACACACACACACACAUUCUGGACACACACACUGGACACACACACACACACACUGAACACACACCACACAAACACCACACCACACACACACACACACACUGGAUAUACACACACUCAACACACACACACACACACUGGAUAUACACACACACACACACUGGAAACAAAAUGGACACACACACACUGGACACAAAAUGGACACACACACACAAACUGGACAUAAACUGGACUUACACAAAAUAG
Molecule: long non-coding RNA, 1938 nt
Filed under: Salmo trutta (river trout)
Lineage: Eukaryota; Metazoa; Chordata; Actinopteri; Salmoniformes; Salmonidae
Description: lncRNA (ENSSTUG00000012456.1)
Source: RNAcentral